RNAcentral lists this ribosomal RNA (253 nucleotides) under uncultured bacterium. RNAcentral describes it as "partial 16S ribosomal RNA". It matches the Rfam family "Bacterial small subunit ribosomal RNA", at positions 524 to 776 of the family's 1533-position model. The record is from RNAcentral.
UACGUAGGUGGCAAGCGUUGUCCGGAUUUACUGGGCGUAAAGAGCGCGCAGGCGGUCGUUCAAGUCGCGUGUGAAAGCCCCCGGCUCAACUGGGGAGGGUCACGCGAUACUGAUCGGCUGGAAGGCAGGAGAGGGUAGUGGAAUUCCCGGUGUAGUGGUGAAAUGCGUAGAUAUCGGGAGGAACACCAGUGGCGAAGGCGACUACCUGGCCUGUUCUUGACGCUGAGGCGCGAAAGCUAGGGGAGCAAACGGG